UACAGAGGUCUCAAGCGUUGUUCGGAUUCAUUGGGCGUAAAGGGUGUGUAGGUGGCGCCGUAAGUCGGGUGUGAAAUUUCGGAGCUUAACUCCGAAACUGCAUUCGAAUACUGCGGUGCUUGAGGACUGGAGAGGAGACUGGAAUUCAUGGUGUAGCAGUGAAAUGCGUAGAGAUCAUGAGGAAGACCAGUGGCGAAGGCGGGUCUCUGGACAGUUCCUGACACUGAGACACGAAGGCCAGGGGAGCAAAACGGG
This 255-nucleotide ribosomal RNA is filed under the name uncultured bacterium. Its description in RNAcentral is "partial 16S ribosomal RNA". It matches the Rfam family "Bacterial small subunit ribosomal RNA", at positions 524 to 777 of the family's 1533-position model. The record is from RNAcentral.